Molecule: ribosomal RNA, 235 nt
Filed under: uncultured bacterium
Lineage: Bacteria
Description: partial 16S ribosomal RNA
Rfam family: Bacterial small subunit ribosomal RNA
Source: RNAcentral
CGGACGGGUGAGUAACGCGUGGGUAACCUACCCUGUGCAGGGGGAUAACAGUCAGAAAUGACUGCUAAUACCGCAUAAGACCACAGCACCGCAUGGUGCAGGGGUAAAAACUCCGGUGGUACAGGAUGGACCCGCGUCUGAUUAGCUGGUUGGUGAGGUAACGGCUCACCAAGGCGACGAUCAGUAGCCGGCUUGAGAGAGUGAACGGCCACAUUGGGACUGAGACACGGCCCAA